GGUAAAAAUUAUUUUCAGCCUCAGUCUUUCUCCCGCUGAGGAAAUGAGCUUUUGAAAUUUCGGGACAAAAUAGAAAAACAGCAGCUACUUGCAGCUGUGUCGUCUUACACGUGGGGGACCCGUCGAGCAGGAUGCAUGACUAAAUCGUUGGGAUUUAAAAAAACAACACCUAAGACCUUUAAAAAAUCCAAAGUCAGGGAAACUGAAGGCUACAUGCUUUUGUCUCUAGUGUAUAACUCGUUCCUGAAGUGGAUGGGUUUCCCAGAUGAAGGGGGUCGUGCACCCCCAUAGGUACCCUGCGAAGGCAGAUGUUCAAUCCCGAGAAGACUCUGGUCAUAAUUUAAGAUAAGGAGCUACAAAAAUCAGACUAUUUAGACGUUUGCCUGUAUUGGAAAAAUAGCAUGUUUAGCACCUGUGUGUCUGUGCUGGGCUCAGGACUUGCUCCUUUCCCUGGGUUUGGUGUAAACGGUGAAGAGGAUGACUAGCAGCCUGUGCAGAGUUUCCUUCCAUGCUCUGGGGCUUAGCGGUUUCCCCUACCCAAAGUCCGUCCUGAAACCUGCUGCCCUCUGAAUCUGGCUCCUUCCAGUAGAAAUGCAACACACGGCUUAUGAUAAAUUUAGAGCUUAACAUAGUUUAUCGAAGAGAAAGUUAGGGAAGAAGUACUUUGAGAUGUAUUUGCGCUUCCUAUGCGAGAAGAAAUUGUCCUUAGGAGUGUUUUAGAGGGAUUAGAAAUGGAAAGGCAGAGGGCACGAGAGGGCGUUUCAGGGGCUUUGGGCAUUAUAGAGGCACAGAAAUGGAAACUUGAGAAAAAUCAAUCGUAAGACUGAGGAUAAUUAGGGUUACCAUGUGUCAUGUUUUCUGUCAAUUGGCGUCCUUUCUCCCCUGCGAGCGCAGAGGCUGCAGCUGGAAAUCCAGUGACCUCCUGUCUCAGGGAGUGGCAACGAAAAUAGGCAGUUGCAGGGGUGUCUUAAGGCUUUAAACUAUGAAAAGAAAGAUAGUGCGUGGUGGUACCUUGAGGCAGCUGGAGCUAUGACUGGCAGGUGGAGGUGACUGGGGUCGUGAAUGACUUGUGGCAGUGGGUUGGUUUUCACUGUACUUGGGUGAAAAGUUGCUGAGGGGUCAAAAAUAGGACGAUGAGGACGUGGGAACUUGUUCAUCGUUUCUGGAGAAAGGGGUCUUUGAUUUAUUUGGGAUAGGAAAGGUAUUAAGAGGUUUUUAACCAUUGGGGACCAAAGAGUAACAGCACGGCCUUGAAUGAGUUUUGGAGCCCAGGACUGUUCGAAUUGUCCAAUAAAUACUACUCCAGGUAGGUCCUACUCAAAACUUAGUCCAGUACUUGGCUGUUUUUGCAAACCAGAUUUUUUUGUGAUGAUGUUUUUCUCUGUUUUCCACCCCUCAGGAAGUUUUUAGCAGUUUUGAAAUUUUCUGGGAUCCCAUUUUCUGCAGCUGCCUUUAUUAGAUGGAUUUUGUCAUAACAUAUCACCUAACUGGAGGUGGGGAAUUAGGACCGGGGGCUCUGUGUGUUACCAUUGAACCUUUCAGAGGGUGUCAGGCACAUCAGCCAGUCUCACAUGUGGGAUUUAGACUCCCUAGAAUGGUUUGAGUUGGAAGGGACCUCUAAAGAUCAUCUAGCCAUGUCACCUGAAUGCCCAAACUACCUAGCGUGAAUCCUCUGGGAUGGAGCUUUUGCUAAAACUUUGAGACCCUAAUUUAUUACUCGUUGGUGCAAACGCUGUUCAGGAAUCACGGUCUUCUAUGGUAACAAAUCCAGCUUUUCGCAGCUGUCAGCCAGGACUGUCCCGGAGGCUCGUAGGACUCGGUACUUUGGGACUUCCUUCACGUCAGUCUCUACCGGAGGCCAACGAAAGACUCCAAAAGUCUCUUUGCCCAGGCUUUUACUGCUGUUAUGGACGCUGCUCUUUUUAAUAUGUACAUAUGGAGCAUAUAACAGGCUGGUUGUGUCUAGAGAUGACAGCGAGGCCGUCACUGCUGCCCUGUAGCCGUCACCAUGGCUGUUGACUGUCUCCGUAAGCAUAAACCCUUUAAGCUGGAUGUUUGGUCAGGCCAGACUUUUCCUGGAGACUCGUUAACCCUUAACUGCCAAGUUACUCUUCGAUAUUGCAGAUGUUCUUAAAAAGCAAAGCAAGUCAACGGGCAGGGUGUCUUUUGCUUGGUGUCUGUUUCAGGUCUCUGUUUUUCUAAUUCUCUUUGUUCCCAGGAAGGUGCUUUCCCCGUGAGUUUAGUUCAGACCUGUAAUCUGCUCCGGUAUCUCCCAUCCUUCCUGCAAGAAGAUGACGUUGUGUAUAACUGCCAUAAUUCCCAUGGAGAUAAUGGGAUUUGCUUGCAUCCUUUCCUUGCAAGAAACGUCUCGGUGCCUGAGCCCUCAACACAGCAAAAGGCUGGGAGCGGUUCUUCGUGCGCCCACGUGGCCAGUGAGGUUGGCAGGAUCCUCCGGCGAUCGUCCAGUCCAGCCCUCUUGCUCAAAGCAGGGUCAGCUGGGGCAGGCUGCUCAGGACCACGUCCAGCUGUGGUUUUGGAAAUCUCCCGUGAUGGAAACUCCGCGACCUGUUCCAGUGUUUGACCACCCGCACAUUCUUCUUUUUUUUUUUUUUCCCCUAGUAUUUAAGUGGAAUUUCAUCCUUUUGAGUCUAUGCCCGUUAUCUCUUGUCCUUUCCUUGGUUACCACUGAGAAAAGUCUGGCUCCAUCUUUACACCCCCAUCAGGUAUUUAUACACGUCGAGGGGAUCCCUGUUCAGCCUUAUACCCAGAAACCUGAAUGGCUGAAAAAACAGUGAUAUAAAAUACUUUGAGAAAUCGCUCCUGGUUUAAGUUUCAAUAACCUGGCCCAAGGCAUGACGCCUGUCUUGGGAUGUUUGGCUUCUGUCCCCGCUGCUGGGAAGAUUUCAACCGCAAGCGAUGCAAAAUCUGCUGCUUUCAGGGCUCUGGGAAAUAAACGCAGUUAUAACCAUUGUCGAGGCAGCUUGGAGGGAUGGUAGCCAUGGGCUUUUGGGAGUGUGAAAAUAAUACCAGGAAAUAGUUUGAAAUUAUACCCAGAGAGGCUGGAAUAAGAUUUUCCUGUGGUGUGUCACGUGGAGAUGAUCUGCCUCCUCCAGAGUCAGGAUCAGGCACUUUCCAUGGGGUGUCCACAUGUCCCAAAGACUGCAAAAAACAGGACUUUGUUCAAGGUUAUGAAUUUAUCCAGAAAUUAAUUUCUCCCAGAGAUACAAGAACUCGUUAUUUUAUGGGGUUUUAUUUAUUUUAUUCUUUGCUGGGUUGGGGUUCUUUUUUUGUUUGUUUCCUGUCAAGGUUUUUUUUUUUUUUACUUUGUUUGAACUAAAUGUCACAGUGAGAUGUCAUAGCAAGCCUGGGCUAUUUAUAGCGGAAAGCAGCAGUAUCUUGACUUUCAAAGUCUCUAGCACAGAAUUAAAAGUGCAACUUUUCUGGUCAGGAAAUGGCAAAGGUUUGUUUUGAAAUAAGCAGUAAGAGCAGAGCCUGUAGUAUAAACAGCAGCUCUGGGGGACUGUGAGGGAGGGGAGGUGCCUUUCUGGACACCGGGUCUGCGUAAAGUGUUACUGAUCCUGAGCCAAAAGUGAUUAUUUUUUUUUUUUUUCCUGCGGUGAUUGCCUUUCUCCUUGUCCUGACAGGUGGUAGAAGACGGCGUUUUUCCCUCCGUAGUCACACCUUUGGGACUUUGUCUCCUUUCGUCACUUUGCAGCCCUUCUGCUGAUCGCAUCUGCUGAGAAGGGUGGGCACAGGAAGGAAAAAAUGCAAGUUCUUUCCAUCUAUCGUCGCAGUGAAGAGCGGACGUGUCUUACCACUGCAGCUGGGAACGUGGCUGCUUCACGUUCGCUCGAUCGUGUUGUUUUAGAUCAAAACGUAGAAGUUAUCUACGAGUUAUUUGAAUAAUAUGCUACGUCAAUGGUCCACGGUGGUAGGAAGAACUGUCCUCCGUUGCCGUCUCUCCUCUGACGCUUAGCAAAUUCUGCAGUCCCCCGAGCGCAGCCUGAACUCGGGAGUUAAAGGGCAUCCUUAAGGGGCAUCCCAGCCUAGCAAGGGGUGAGCGUGGAGGGUCUGCAGAGCAGGAAGAGCACGAUCCCACUGCGGCUGAAGUGAAAAUCCAACAUAAAGGGCCAAGACAACGAAGCGUUGCUUCAACAGCUCUUAAAAAAAUGUUUGCUCUCGGCGUACAUGAGUUUCGCGUGUUCUCAAAGCGUGAGGGGGGCAUCCCCUUCCCAUCCCAUCUGGCCGUUUUUCUUAAUAUGAGGAUGGUAGUAAUGAGAUAAGAAAAAUCCCCUUUAAAGCAGGCUGUCUAGCUAGAAAUUUAUCUGUUGGUUUUUUUUUUUUCCCAAAAACAAAUUAGUUAUUUAAUUGGAAAAUAGAGCCUACUCUCUAUUCAGAGGCACUACAGUUGCUUUUUGUAAUAAGUUAAAAUAGGAACAUGUGAACUCAUUAGGAAAAAAAAAAAAAAAAAAAAGAAAAGAAUUGACCUAAAUUGUGGCUAAAAUCCUUUUGGGAAUGAAAAGGUUUCUGUUCAAUUGUUUUUCGUGUGUGCUCUGUUUUCUGUUUUUUUCUCCUUGGUUUGUUUUGGACGUGAAAUAGAAAUACUAUAUUGGUUUGAGAAGAGGUUAAAAACAGCAUGAGAACAAACCACAAGAAGUAGGAAGUCGCACAAGUUUAGUGAGAACAAAGUUUCGUAGCUGCAGUGUUCCCAGAAAUAGGGAUAUUUGUUUUCCUCUCCUGACUCGUGCUCGUACGUUCUCCCUGCAGCCACAUUUGGACGGCGGUGACGCCAGGCACGAACAAAGCGCUGUUGUGAGCUCCCACUUUCUACUGUCUCUUAAUGUUAAAGAAGUGUCCGGAGAAGGAUUUGGGUGCUCAGAAAUGUUUGUUUCAACUGCAUCGAUCUACAGCUGGAUGCAAUAGCUGUUAGCGAGCACUGUGCAGCCUUCUCGUUUUGCAUGAAAAUGUAUAAUAGAGAUCCAUGGGUGACCACGGCAUGGUUUUAGCUCUGAUUUACGGCUCCUGCUUAAACCUACUAUGUAAAUGUGCAACAUGCAAGCCCAGAAGUUCUAAUUUGAGAACUGGAGGGCUGCCUUCCCUGAAAAGCAGUGAUUUUGGUCAGGAUCGAGCCUGGCUAGUUUUGCCUUGAGGACACACAAACUCCUUUGGUUGCUGAUGUUGCUUCAGUGCCUCCUUCUGAAUUUGUCCUGAGGGAUGGACACGUUCUCCAGCAAUAGGUGGGAUUGAGGAAAGCAAAGUCACAAUAAAGAUCUGCCAAAGCAUGGUGCAGGAAGACACAAGGACAACCUCUGUCCCUGGAGCUUUAGUCCCCUUGCAGGAGUUGAGCAGAAGUGAUCUGGAAAUUGCUUGCCUUGGGCGUAUGUGGUAUCCACAGAUGGUGAGUGGGACGUGGGAAACGGUGGUGUGCAGAUGCCGGCAGGACAACUGAAGGGGAACCACCGAAAUCCCCUACUGAGAACUGCAGCUCCUGUUAUGACUCAACUGGAAGAGAGAAAUGAUGCUUUUUGCCAAUAUGCAUUUAGUUCCUUAUUCUGCCAUUCAUGCCGCGACAUGUGAAGUGAAGUCCAAGAGCGAACAAAAAAAGGUGGACUUUCAUAAUAGCGAUUCUAAGCACGAAAGCCUUUUGCUGAAGUAAGGAAGACCGUAUGGCAUCCAAGUGACUAGGAGAUCAUCCAGCAAUGGUCGAUUUUGUAUCGGUACUAAGCAGCCAGUCUGAAAACCACAAGGGAGUGCUUCUGUGUCGGGGUAAAUGCAUUACCCUCACCAAGCUGUUCAGAUGGUGAGAAGCACAGCUGGGAAGCCUGCGCCUUCCAGGUCAGGAAGGACGCAGAAGUCCUUUUCACGCAGCCUAUGGCAAAAAACCCAUCGAUGGCCUUAGUGGACUAAUAUCUCGCCUCCCAUCCCUGGAAACAUUCCAGGUCAGGCUGGACGGGGCUCUGAGUGACCUGAUCAAGUUGAAGAUGCCCCUGCUCACUGCAGGGGGUUGGGCUAGAUGGCCUCUGAAGGUCCCUUCCGACCCAAACCACUCUGUGAUUCUCAUCAGGACCCAUCCCACUACCCUCUUACGAGCUGACCCAACGGUGCUAUGCACGGAGCUUUUAUCCCAGGUUAUGGACAUAUAUAAUGAUGUAUUUUUUCCAGUGGAAAACUUUUAUAAGAACAAGGUGAUUUUUUGUGUGUGGUGUGUGUGUGUGAAAUUUCUCUCUCUCCUCUAUUAGUGUUUUUCUUAUCCUCGGGCCUUUCAUCUUGAAUAAAUACCAGCAGGUUGCUGACCAGCUUCCCUCCUUUGGGGAAAACAUGCCUUUGUGGUGAAGAUGCUGAACUAGGGCUCACAUCAUCUGGGUUAGACAGUCUUCAUGACCCCAGGCAAAUGCGUUGGGGCAUCUCCCUACUCCACAGGGUAGCGUAAGGAUAAAAUCCAUUUGUGAUUCUGAGUUGCUUGGAUACUGUGUGGACGUAGGGCUAAAUAAAAAAAUAAACACACAGAAAAAAGCAUCUUCUAGAGUUUUCCCUCUGGUCUCCAGCCCUCCUUAUGUAAUUAAGCGACCCCUGUGUCUUUGCUUGGGCUUGCCAUCCCGAGCUGCCGCUCUCGCUGCUCGUCUGGUGUCCUCGCUCAGCAGCUCCCCACAGGGCCCUGCAACUUCUCUCCCUAAUUGGCAGCUCCUACUUGGCAAAUCAUCGCCCUUUUCCAGCAGGAUUCCUCCCUUCCCUGCAAUGUCCCUGGGUGAUGCCUGAACACUAAAACACCAACCGAUGCCGUCUUCCAGGGCUUUCCCCGCACCCUCUCCUCGGAGGAAGCCUGUGCUGUUGAUAAUAAGCAGUGCUUAUUUUUAGCCUUAUCUUGCUAUUAGGUUAUAGUGUUUAUAUAUAUAUAUAUAUAUAUAAAUAAAAUCUUUAUUAUCUAAUUCCAGGCCAAGAUUAUGAGUUAGACUGAAGAAUCCUUAAAAGUCAUGGCUACAACUAUACAAAUAUUACCAUGCAGCGAUGCC
This is a non-coding RNA of Phalacrocorax carbo (great cormorant), 7010 nucleotides long. The record is from RefSeq and is a predicted model, not a curated record. Lineage: Eukaryota; Metazoa; Chordata; Aves; Suliformes; Phalacrocoracidae.